RNAcentral lists this ribosomal RNA (162 nucleotides) under Tropaeolum tricolor. RNAcentral's name for it is "5.8S ribosomal RNA". It matches the Rfam family "5.8S ribosomal RNA". From Rfam's summary of the family: 5.8S ribosomal RNA (5.8S rRNA) is a component of the large subunit of the eukaryotic ribosome. The record is from RNAcentral. RNAcentral also lists the same sequence under 2 other names. Lineage: Eukaryota; Viridiplantae; Streptophyta; Magnoliopsida; Brassicales; Tropaeolaceae.
AACGACUCUCGGCAACGGAUAUCUCGGCUCUCGCAUCGAUGAAGAACGUAGCGAAAUGCGAUACUUGGUGUGAAUUGCAGAAUCCCGUGAACCAUCGAGUCUUUGAACGCAAGUUGCGCCUUAAGCCGUCAGGCUAAGGGCACGUCUGCCUGGGUGUCACGC